Molecule: transfer RNA, 68 nt
Filed under: Blanus cinereus (Mediterranean worm lizard)
Lineage: Eukaryota; Metazoa; Chordata; Lepidosauria; Squamata; Blanidae
Description: tRNA-Glu
Source: RNAcentral
GGUGUUUUUGUAGUUGAAUAACAACGGCGGUUUUUCAGAUUGCAGGUCCAGUGUAUAAGCUGGCAGGA